This 238-nucleotide ribosomal RNA is filed under the name uncultured bacterium. RNAcentral's name for it is "partial 16S ribosomal RNA". It matches the Rfam family "Bacterial small subunit ribosomal RNA", at positions 96 to 334 of the family's 1533-position model. The record is from RNAcentral.
UGGCGGACGGGUGAGUAACGCGUGGGUAACCUGCCCUGUACAGGGGGAUAACAGUUGGAAACGGCUGCUAAUACCGCAUAAGACCACAGCACCGCAUGGUGCGGGGGUAAAAACUCCGGUGGUAUGAGAUGGACCCGCGUCUGAUUAGCUAGUUGGUAAGGUAACGGCUUACCAAGGCGACGAUCAGUAGCCGACCUGAGAGGGUGACCGGCCACAUUGGGACUGAGACACGGCCCAA